GGUGGGGAUGACGUCAAGUCCUCAUGGCCCUUACGGGCCGGGCUACACACGUGCUACAAUGGUGGUGACAGAGGGAUAAUCCCUAAAAGCCAUCUCAGUUCAGAUCGGGGUCUGCAACUCGACCCCGUGAAGGUGGAAUCGCUAGUAAUCGUGGAUCAGCAUGCCACGGUGAAUACGUUCCCGGGCCUUGUACACACCGCCCGUCACACCAUGGGAGUUGGGUUUACCCGAAGGCAGUGCGCUAACCGCAAGGGGGCAGCUGACCACGGUAGGCUCAGCGACUGGGGUGAAGUCGUAACAAGGUAGCCGUAGGGGAACCUGCGGCUGGAUCACCUCCUUU
This 340-nucleotide ribosomal RNA is filed under the name Beijerinckiaceae bacterium. RNAcentral describes it as "bacterial SSU rRNA". It matches the Rfam family "Bacterial small subunit ribosomal RNA", at positions 1172 to 1533 of the family's 1533-position model. The record is from RNAcentral. Lineage: Bacteria; Pseudomonadati; Pseudomonadota; Alphaproteobacteria; Hyphomicrobiales; Beijerinckiaceae.